Molecule: long non-coding RNA, 669 nt
Filed under: Homo sapiens (human)
Lineage: Eukaryota; Metazoa; Chordata; Mammalia; Primates; Hominidae
Description: non-protein coding lnc-JMJD1C-14:3
Source: RNAcentral
GGGCUCCCGGCCUGGGCCUCCUGGGUCUCCGGGACGCACUGCCCAACGGAAAAGUUUUCAGCCCAGUCUGUGCCUCGCCGCCAAGCAGCCCUUGGGGCUUCUCAAAGUGGUAGAGAAAAUAGGACAGCUCUACAGGAUGCCCCAAAGAAAACCCUCAUUUGUCGACCAGGCGACCUUAGUGCUGGCGUGGGACUACAGCUGCGCAGCCAGCAAACCCCAGUUGGGGGAGGGGGAGAAGUGGCAGUAGAGUUCGCAUCUGGGGCUUGCUCUAAAGCGCUCUUUGACUGCUUUUGGAUUCCAUAUUUGAAGUUGAGAGUCGUAUUCCACCUGGUACAGGCAGUUCAGGGCAGGAGAAAAGCCAAGUGAACUCUGUGACUCAAUCCCCUUGGAAUGUGCCUGGAAUAAUAAUAGGGACUUGAAAGGGUUUUAUGGCCGAGGUGGCUAGUGGAGAGCAGUCUCCUACGCCUUGCAGUUGGCGGUCGGCCGAGGGGGGCAGUAUUGCCUUAUGCAGAGCUUCUGCGCCUGCAAACGGGACAAAAAUAGUCGGAGCAUCUGGUUUAAAUCAACCAAAAAGCAUUUCUAUCAGCUUAAUCCACCGGCCUACAGAACUGACAGAACAGGACAAGCCAAAUAUAUUCCCGGUACUCUUUUAACACUCCAAUAAUAGCU